This 496-nucleotide ribosomal RNA is filed under the name uncultured bacterium. RNAcentral describes it as "partial 16S ribosomal RNA". It matches the Rfam family "Bacterial small subunit ribosomal RNA", at positions 29 to 507 of the family's 1533-position model. The record is from RNAcentral.
ACGCACGCUGGCGGCGUGCCUCAUACAUGCCAGUUGAGCGCUGAAGGUUGGUACUUGUACCAACUGGAUGAGCAGCGAACGGGUGAGUAACGCGUGGGGAAUCUGCCUUUGAGCGGGGGACAACAUUUGGAAACGAAUGCUAAUACCGCAUAAAAACUUUAAACACAAGUUUUAAGUUUGAAAGAUGCAAUUGCAUCACUCAAAGAUGAUCCCGCGUUGUAUUAGCUAGUUGGUGAGGUAAAGGCUCACCAAGGCGAUGAUACAUAGCCGACCUGAGAGGGUGAUCGGCCACAUUGGGACUGAGACACGGCCCAAACUCCUACGGGAGGCAGCAGUAGGGAAUCUUCGGCAAUGGACGAAAGUCUGACCGAGCAACGCCGCGUGAGUGAAGAAGGUUUUCGGAUCGUAAAACUCUGUUGGUAGAGAAGAACGUUGGUGAGAGUGGAAAGCUCAUCAAGUGACGGUAACUACCCAGAAAGGGACGGCUAACUACGUG